Molecule: ribosomal RNA, 465 nt
Filed under: uncultured bacterium
Lineage: Bacteria
Description: partial 16S ribosomal RNA
Rfam family: Bacterial small subunit ribosomal RNA
Source: RNAcentral
CCUACGGGUGGCAGCAGUGGGGAAUAUUGCGCCAUGGGCGAAAGCCUGACGCAGCGACGCCGCGUGAGGGAUGAAGGUCUUCGGAUCGUAAACCUCUGUCAGCAGGGAAGAACGGUCACUGUGCUAAUCAGCAGUGAAUUGACUGUACCUGCAAAGGAAGCACCGGCUAACUCCGGGCCAGCAGCCGCGGUAAUACGGAGGGUGCGAGCGUUAAUCGGAAUUACUGGGCGUAAAGCGCGCGUAGGCGGUAUGUCAAGUCAAGGGUGAAAUCCCCGCGCUCAACGUGGGAACUGCCUUUGAUACUGGCAAACUUGAGUGUGUGAGAGGAUAGUGGAAUUCCAGGUGUAGCAGUGAAAUCCGUAGAUAUCUCGAAGAACAUCAAUGGCGAAGGCGACUAUCUGGCACAUAACUGACGCUGAGGAGCGAAAGCGUGGGUAGCAAACAGGAUUAGAUACCCCAGUAGUC